Molecule: RNA transcript, 1789 nt
Organism: Diospyros lotus (date-plum)
Lineage: Eukaryota; Viridiplantae; Streptophyta; Magnoliopsida; Ericales; Ebenaceae
Gene name: probable aldo-keto reductase 5
Exons: 7
Source: RefSeq, a predicted model, not a curated record
AAGGGAUGGGAAACUUUAUAUAUUGGGCUACACAGCAUCACGGCGUUACGUCAAAAAUCAAAAUGUAUGGUAGGACGCGCCACCCUUGGUUUCUCUAUAAAUUCAUUCACGCAGCGAGCGAUCGAGAGAGAAAAGAUCGAUAUAGGCAAAAGCAAAUUAAAUGGGUGGAGCGAGGAGGAUUAAGCUGGGUUCCCAAGGUCUGGAGGUGUCGGCUCAGGGACUGGGCUGCUUGGGCAUGUCGGACUUCUACGGUCCUCCAAAGCCGGAACAAGACAUGAUCAAACUCAUCCAUCACGCUGUCAACUCCGGCGUCACCUUCCUCGACACUUCCGACUUCUACGGCCCCCACACCAACGAAAUCCUUCUCGGCAAGGCGCUGGAGGGUGGAAUGAGAGAGAAAGUGCAACUGGCUACCAAAUUUGGGGUCAGAUAUGCCGACAACGGCAAAAUAGAGGUGCGUGGCGAUCCAGCCUAUGUACGGGCCACCUGUGAGGCCAGCUUGAAGCGGCUCGACGUGAAUUGCAUUGAUCUCUAUUACCAGCACAGGAUUGACACUCGUGUUCCCAUCGAAGUCACGAUGGGGGAACUCAAGAAACUGAUUGAAGAGGGAAAAAUAAAGUAUAUUGGUCUAUCUGAGGCCUCUGCUUCAACAAUCAGAAGAGCUCAUGCUGUCCAUCCAAUUACAGCUGUACAAUUAGAAUGGUCUUUAUGGACAAGAGAUGUGGAGGAAGAAAUAGUUCCUACUUGCAGAGAGCUUGGCAUUGGGAUUGUUGCAUAUAGUCCAUUAGGAAGAGGAUUCUUCUCAUCAGGUCCCAAGAUUGUUGAGAACAUCUCAAAUAACGACUUCAGAAAGGGUCUCCCAAGGUUCCAGGCGGAGAAUCUGAAACAGAAUAACAUCAUGUUUGAGCGGGUUAAUGAGAUGGCAUCAAGGAAGGGGUGCGCCCCUGGGCAGCUGGCAUUGGCGUGGGUUCUUCACCAAGGGAACGAUGUGUGUCCAAUUCCUGGCACCACAAAGGUUGAAAACUUCAAUCAAAAUAUUGGAGCUUUGUCAUUGAAACUAACGCCUGAAGAAAUGGCUGAGCUGGAAUCAAUCGUAUCUGCUGACGCAGUUCAGGAUGGAUCAUAAAAAUUUUUGCGUACUUUACAGUUGUCCUGGAAAUUUUACAAGGUAUAUGAAGACAAGAUCUACAUACCAGGAUCAAAUCUUGUAGAUUAGUACUAAGCAGAGUUCUUGUUCUGCUAAUGGCAACACGAGAAGCUCUGAAACACUGGGAACAGGCAGACCUAGAACUGAACUUUUUCUCUUGGAAGCCUACCUGCAAAAUUGACUGGAAGACGGCGCCAAUGCUAAGGAGGGUUCAGGCACUGUGCUAAUUUGGCUUUGUCCUGACUGAAGCUGAAUGAACAAUGCAGUUAAAAGUUGCUAGGUACUGCUUGAGAGAGAGAAAGGAGACUCGUCACAACAUGCAAAGGAUGAUUCACUCAAAUAGGUUACAUUAUCCUAAUGUAAUUACCUUUUGCAAUCCAGAACACUGCAAAUGUGUAGAACAGUAUGACGACAUUGCCCUAAAUUGUUCAGAAAAUAUCCUUUUUGUAUUUUUUUGAAUAUCAUAAUUGUGUAAACCAGUGCCUUUUGCACUUAUCCUUUUAAAAUAUUAAAGAAGAAUGCCUGGAUGGAUCCAUUCAUGGAUCCUGAAAUGCAUUAUUUUGCAGUAAAUUUCAUUGCAUGCUGGAAAUUGUUUUCCAUUUAUUUUAAUUCUUGGAUUUGUUUAGUCCAAAGUGUACAUGC